UCUUCCCUCUUUCUUCGUGCCUAAUACAUGCAAGUCGAGCGAACAGACGAGAAGCUUGCUUUUCUGAUGUUAGCGGCGGACGGGUGAGUAACACGUGGAUAACCUACCUAUAAGACUGGGAUAACUUCGGGAAACCGGAGCUAAUACCGGAUAAUAUAUUGAACCGCAUGGUUCAAUAGUGAAAGACGGUCUUGCUGUCACUUAUAGAUGGAUCCGCGCCGCAUUAGCUAGUUGGUAAGGUAACGGCUUACCAAGGCAACGAUGCAUAGCCGACCUGAGAGGGUGAUCGGCCACACUGGAACUGAGACACGGUCCAGACUCCUACGGGAGGCAGCAGUAGGGAAUCUUCCGCAAUGGGCGAAAGCCUGACGGAGCAACGCCGCGUGAGUGAUGAAGGUCUUAGGAUCGUAAAACUCUGUUAUUAGGGAAGAACAUAUGUGUAAGUAACUGUGCACAUCUUGACGGUACCUAAUCAGAAAGCCACGGCUAACUACGUG
Molecule: ribosomal RNA, 497 nt
Filed under: uncultured bacterium
Lineage: Bacteria
Description: partial 16S ribosomal RNA
Rfam family: Bacterial small subunit ribosomal RNA
Source: RNAcentral